CAGGGAGAACUCCCCAAACUGGAACCGAAGUUCCCCAAACGAACAAAGUCAAAGAGGCUACGGUGUGCACUCCAGGGAACUUACCAAAUUGCUGGCAGAAUCAAAUUGUAAGUUAUGAGAUUUAACUCUCAGAUCACCAAGCAAGUAUGGCUACUCCUAACUCUGAGCAAUAAAUAUCAGACUGGGCAGAAUUUUUUUGCCAGAAGAUAUAAUAUAAAUUCUUUAAAAAGGGAUGGACUUGAUACCAGAACAUCCUCCUAGACAGUGCUGGGGAAUAUUGAUGACUUUGGCCUCUACCUUGGACUCUUGUAUCUGAUGACUUGCAGACUAUCCUUGUUCUGUUAAUAUCCCAUUUCGUCAGAUAGAGCUCAGUAGGGCUUCCCUGGUGGCACAGUGAUUAAGAAUCCGCCUGCCAAUGCAGGGUACACGGGUUCGAGCCCUGGUCUGGGAAGAUUCCACAUGCCACGGAGCAACUAAGCCUGAGCACCACAACUGCUGAGCCUGCACUCUAGAGCCUGUGCUCCACAACAAGAGAAGCCACCGCAACGAGAGACCCACGCACCACAACGAAGAGUAGCCCCCACUCGACGCAACUAAAGAAAGCCCAUAUAUUUGCUAAAAUAAAAGCUUCUUACCUACUGGAACAAUCCAUCCUGUGCUUACCCCAAAUCAACUUAAUUGAAUUUGGGGUAUUAAAAAUUUUGUAGGUCCCUUCCACAGAUGGCUUGUUUUAGAUCCCUUACAUUUUUCCUAUAUUGGUUUUUAAAUUAUAAAAUAGUCCAUGUGUAUAAAAGGAUAUAAUGGGGGGUAGGGGAGAGAGGGAUUGGGAGUUUGGGAUUAGCAGAUGCAAACUAUAGAGAAUGGAUAAACAAGGUCCUACUGUAUAGCACAGGGAACUAUCUUCAAUAUCCUGUGAUAAAUCAUCAUGGAAAAGAAUAUAAAAAAGAAUGUAUA
Molecule: long non-coding RNA, 954 nt
Organism: Lagenorhynchus albirostris (white-beaked dolphin)
Lineage: Eukaryota; Metazoa; Chordata; Mammalia; Artiodactyla; Delphinidae
Exons: 3
Source: RefSeq, a predicted model, not a curated record